This 402-nucleotide ribosomal RNA is filed under the name Bacteroidota bacterium. RNAcentral's name for it is "Bacteroidetes bacterium partial 16S ribosomal RNA". It matches the Rfam family "Bacterial small subunit ribosomal RNA", at positions 355 to 776 of the family's 1533-position model. The record is from RNAcentral. Lineage: Bacteria; Pseudomonadati; Bacteroidota.
UGGGGAAUCUUCCACAAUGGGGGAAACCCUGAUGCAGCGACGCCGCGUGAGUUAGAAGGCCUUCGGGUUGUAAAAACCUUGUCUAUGGGAUGAAAAUGACAGUACUAUAAGAAUAAGGUCCGGCUACAUACGCGCCAGCAGAAGCGGUAAUACGUAUGGACCGAGCGUUGUCCGGAAUCAUUGGGCGUAAAGGGUACGUAGGCGGCCCAGUAAGUUAGAAGUGAAAUAAUAGAGCUCAACGAUAUAAAGCUUUUAAAACUGCUAGGCUUGAGAGAUGGAAGGGAAAGUGGAAUUCCUAGUGUAGCGGUGAAAUGCGCAGAUAUUAGGAAGAAUACCGGUGGCGAAGGCGACUUUCUGGUCAUCAUCUGACGCUGAGGUACGAAAGCGUGGGUAGCAAACAGG